This 1510-nucleotide ribosomal RNA is filed under the name uncultured delta proteobacterium. RNAcentral's name for it is "16S ribosomal RNA". It matches the Rfam family "Bacterial small subunit ribosomal RNA". Lineage: Bacteria; Deltaproteobacteria. The record is from RNAcentral.
GCUCAGAAUGAACGCUAGCGGCGUGCCUAACACAUGCAAGUCGAGCGAGAAAGGGACUUCGGUCCUGAGUAAAGCGGCGAACGGGUGAGUAAUGCGUAGGUAACCUGCCUCGAGGAAGGGGAUAACCCUUUGAAAAAAGGGCUAAUACCCUAUGUGGUUAAUAAGGGUGGGCCUUAUUAAUCAAAGAUGGCUCUGAAAAAUGAGCUAUCGCCUCGAGAUGGGCCUGCGUCCUAUCAGCUUGUUGGUGGGGUAAUGGCCCACCAAGGCUAUGACGGGUAGCUGGUUUGAGAGGACGGUCAGCCACACUGGCACUGAGACACGGGCCAGACUCCUACGGGAGGCAGCAGUGGGGAAUAUUGCGCAAUGGGGGAAACCCUGACGCAGCGACGCCGCGUGAGUGAGGAAGGCCGAAAGGCUGUAAAACUCUGUCAGGCGGGAAGAAUGGGGAGGGAACGAAUAAUUCCUUCCCUUUGACGGUACCGCUUGAGGAAGCACCGGCCAACUCCGUGCCAGCAGCCGCGGUAAAACGGAGGGUGCGAGCGUUAUUCGGAAUUACUGGGCGUAAAGGGCGCGUAGGCGGUCACUCAAGUCCAAUGUGAAAGACCACAGCUUAACUGUGGAACUGCAUUGGAAACUGGGUGGAUAGAGUGCGGGAGAGGAGGGUGGAAUUCUCGGUGUAGGGGUGAAAUCCGCAGAUAUCGGGAGGAACACCGGUGGCGAAGGCGGCCCUCUGGACCGCAACUGACGCUGAGGCGCGAAAGCGUGGGGAGCAAACAGGAUUAGAGACCCUGGUAGUCCACGCCCUAAACGAUGGGCACUAGGUGUGGGGAACAUAAAGUUUUCCGUGCCGAAGCUAACGCGUUAAGUGCCCCGCCUGGGGAUUACGGCCGCAAGGCUAAAACUCAAAGGAAUUGACGGGGGCCCGCACAAGCGGUGGAGCAUGUGGUUCAAUUCGACGCAACGCGAAGAACCUUACCUGGGUUUGACAUGCUGGUAGUACUGAGCCGAAAGGCAAGGGAUCUGGUUUUCCAGAAGCCAGCACAGGUGCUGCAUGGCUGUCGUCAGCUCGUGUCGUGAGAUGUUGGGUUAAGUCCCGCAACGAGCGCAACCCUUGCUCUUAGUUGCCAGCGGGUCAGGCCGGGCACUCUAAGAGGACUGCCGUCGAAGAGACGGAGGAAGGUGGGGACGACGUCAAGUCAUCAUGGCCUUUAUGCCCAGGGCUACACACGUGCUACAAUGGCCGGUACAAAGGGAAGCGAAUCCGCGAGGAGGAGCUAAUCCCAAAAAGCCGGUCUCAGUUCGGAUUGCAGUCUGCAACUCGACUGCAUGAAGGAGGAAUCGCUAGUAAUCGUACAUCAGCAUGGUACGGUGAAUACGUUCCCGGGCCUUGUACACACCGCCCGUCACACCACGAAAGUCGGUUGUACCAGAAGUCGCUGGUCCAACCUCUUUACGAGGAGGAAGGCGCCGAAGGUAUGGCUGGUAAUUGGGGUGAAGUCGUAACAAGGUA